GUAAAUACGGCUGGAAGUGAUGUUACCCAGUGCCGUAAAACUGUAAAUUUAGGCACAGAGUUGGUUUUCCAGACUAAUUAAUUAUUCAGCGGCUGGGUUUCUCCUCCAGCGUCCAAGGCUUCUGGAGAGCUCUCUUCAUGCUAGAUGUAUUGUGUAUUAACCUGGGUAAGCCGAGCCAGAGACUUAGGAGUUACUACCAGCUCUUCUUCUGACUAGCUCUGUUAAUUUGGGUAAUAAUGAAGCACUGUUCAGUCUGUAGUGGAGUAUGAUACAUUAUGGAUAAUUGUGUUCUUCAGCAUAAUCAGAAUUAGAUGACCUCAUAUUUGGAAUGAUAGAAGGCCCAAAGAAACAAUUUCCUGUGGGCAAGAGAGGCCCUCAAUUUUUGGCACCAAGGAUGGAAUCAGAAGCUGACUGCUAAUGAGUGCCUGUGGAGCAAGGUGUAUGGGCAAGGUGCCUGCUGAACCCUUUGGAUUCCCUGUUCUUCUUGUUACUGAUGGCUAUGGAAUCUCAUCCAGAAUACCAUAUUAAUUUAGUUGUCAUGUAUCCUCGGGCUCCUCUUGCCCAUGACAUUUUCUGAAACUUACUUUUUUUUCAUGAUCUUGAGAGUUCCUGAGGAGUACUGGGCAGGUAUAUUGUAGGAUCCACCUCAAAUGGGACUAGUCUGAUACUUUUCUCCUGAUUAGAGUUGGAUUUUAGAGAAGAACACAAAGGCUGACUCAUCUAAGCAACAGGAUGCUGGAAAGUCCUAAAGAGCCACCACAACAUUUGGAUAGCUGCUAAUUAAAGCUCUGAAGUAAAUAACUCAUAGAAACCUAAUUAGGAAAGGUCAGAGGACAAUAUUAUGAGUAGCCCCAACAUUUAAGUCACAAACCCAGAAGAGGAUUUUUUCAUUAAAGUCAUCAGAGAGUGUCCGUUUAUAGCCAGCUAAUCUUAAUUCUCUCAACAAGUUAAAUUAUUUGAAACCAGAAUGCCUUUGAAUAUGUUGUUUGCUCUGUCUAGAAUUCCCUACACAAACUAUUCUUUUCACCAUUCUGUACUCCCUCGCCCAUAAAUGUAACUGCUCCAGUGACGUUUAUCCAAACUACAUAUAUGUACCAUUCAUUCCCAUUUAUGUAUUAAGUGCUUUCUUUCAAUUUUAUCUUACUGUACUACAAUUAUGUGUCUAAAUGUCUUUGCCCUACAAUAACUUGUGAAUUUUCUAAAGUCUUUUACCGGAGUUCCCAUCGUGGAGCAGUGGUUAACGAAUCCGACUAGGAACCAUGAGGU
Molecule: long non-coding RNA, 1266 nt
Organism: Sus scrofa (pig)
Lineage: Eukaryota; Metazoa; Chordata; Mammalia; Artiodactyla; Suidae
Source: RefSeq, a predicted model, not a curated record